RNAcentral lists this non-coding RNA (458 nucleotides) under Eucalyptus grandis. Its description in RNAcentral is "Bacterial small subunit ribosomal RNA". It matches the Rfam family "Bacterial small subunit ribosomal RNA", at positions 9 to 516 of the family's 1533-position model. Lineage: Eukaryota; Viridiplantae; Streptophyta; Magnoliopsida; Myrtales; Myrtaceae. The record is from Rfam by way of RNAcentral.
GAGUUCAAUCCUGGCUCAAGAUGAACGCAGGUGGCAUGCUUAACACAUGCAAGUCAGGCCGAACAUGGUGUUUCUAGUGGCAAACAGGAGAGUAAAGCUUAAGAACCUGCCCUUGGGAGGGAACAAGGGCUGGAAACAACUGCUAAUGCCCCAUAGACUGAGAAGCACGAGGAGAAAUCCAGCCAUGGAGGGGCACACAUCUGACUAGCUAAUUUCUGAGGCAACAACUUAUCAAGGUGAUGAUCAAUAGCCGGUACGAGAGGAUAAUUAGCCACACUAGGACUGAGACAUGGCCCGGAUUUUCGGGAAUUUAAUAUGCUGCAUGAAAGCCUGACAAAGUAAUAUCACAUAUACUGGAAGGGACUUGUCAAAGUACAAAUCUCCAGAAACUUAAGAGUGAAAUAAGGUUAUGGAGAUUUUGUGAGGCCUUAAAUUCCAAAGAUCCUCAACCAUUAGCU